AUAACAACAGAUGAUGCCUAUCAACUAGUUUAAAAGAUGGUUCUGCUAUCACUCGUUGGAGUGGGACCCUGCGGUGCAUUAGCUAGUUGGUAGGGUAACGGGCCUACCAAGGCGAUGAUGCAUAGCCCGAGUUGAGAGACUGAUCGGGCCACAGUUGGGGACUGAGACACGGGACCCAAAACUCCGUACGGGGAGGCAGCAGUAGGGAAUCUUCCACAAGUGGACGACAAGUCUGAGUGGAGACAACGCCGCGUGAGUAGAAGUAAGGGUUUCGGCUACGUAAAGCUCUGUUGUUGGUAGAAGAAGGACGAGGGGUAGUAACUGACCUUUGUUUGACGGUAAUCAAUUAGAAGUCACGGCUAACUACGUGCCAGCAGCCGCGGUAAU
This 387-nucleotide ribosomal RNA is filed under the name uncultured Bacillota bacterium. Its description in RNAcentral is "bacterial SSU rRNA". It matches the Rfam family "Bacterial small subunit ribosomal RNA", at positions 173 to 524 of the family's 1533-position model. Lineage: Bacteria; Bacillati; Bacillota. The record is from RNAcentral.